GGUGGGCACCCAAAGGAGGUGAUGGGCACCCAAUAGAGGUGAUGGGCACCCGCUGGGGGUGGUGGCCCCCCAACAGUGUUGGUGGGCACCCAAAGGAGGUGAUGGGGACCCAACGGUGUUGAUGGACACCCAACAGUGUUGGUGGGCACCCAAAGGAGGUGAUGGGGACCCAACGGUGUUGGUGGGCACCCAGUGGUGGUGAUGGGCACCCAAUGGAGGUGAUGGGAACCCACUGGAGGUGAUGGGUCCCCAACAGAGGUGAUGGGCACCCAGUGGUGGUGAUGGGCACCCAACGGUGUUGGUGGGCACUCAAAGGAGGUGAUGGGCACCCAACGGUGUUGGUGGGCACCCAAUGGAGGUGAUGGGCACCCAACAGUGUUGGUGGGCACCCAAAGGAGGUGAUGGGCACCCAACGGUGUUGGUGGGCACCCAAUGGAGGUGAUGGGCACCCAACAGUGUUGGUGGGCACCCAAAGGAGGUGAUGGGCACCCAACGGUGUUGAUGGGCACCCAAUGGAGGUGAUGGGAACCCAGUGGAGGUGAUGGGUCCCCAACAGAGGUGAUGGGCACCCAGUGGUGGUGAUGGGCACCCAACCGUGUUGGUGGGCACCCAACGGAGGUGAUGGGCACCCAAUGGUGUUGGUGGACACCCAAUGGUGUUGAUGGGCACCCAGUUGUGUUGAGGGGAACCCGAUGGAGG
Long non-coding RNA from Oxyura jamaicensis (ruddy duck), 699 nucleotides. RefSeq lists it as uncharacterized. The record is from RefSeq and is a predicted model, not a curated record. NCBI's taxonomy places the organism in Eukaryota, Metazoa, Chordata, Aves, Anseriformes, Anatidae. The transcript has 4 exons.